GACGAACGCUGGCGGCGUGCUUAACACAUGCAAGUCGAACGGAAAGGCCCUGCUUUUGUGGGGUGCUCGAGUGGCGAACGGGUGAGUAACACGUGAGUAACCUGCCCUUGACUUUGGGAUAACUUCAGGAAACUGGGGCGCAUACCGGAUAGGAGCUCCUGCUGCAUGGGGGGGGUUGGAAAGUUUCGGCGGUUGGGGCUGGUCUCGCGGCUUAUCAGCUUGUUGGGGGGGUAGUGGCUUACCAAGGCUUUGAAGGGUAGCCGGCCUGGGAGGGUGGCCGGCCACCUUGCGCCUACGAUACGCCCCAGUCUCCUACGGGAGGCAGCGGUGGGGAAUAUUGCACAAUGGGCGGACGCCUGAUGCGGCAGCGCCGCGUGCGGGAUGACGGCCUUCGGGUUGUAAACCGCUUUCGCCUGUGACGAAGCGUGAGUGACGGUAAUGGGUAAAAAAGCACCGGCUAACUACGUG
Molecule: ribosomal RNA, 468 nt
Filed under: uncultured bacterium
Lineage: Bacteria
Description: partial 16S ribosomal RNA
Rfam family: Bacterial small subunit ribosomal RNA
Source: RNAcentral